AACCCACGGUGAGGGCACUUUCUCAACAGAUCCUUGUAUCUCUCCCAUACAUCGUAGAGUGUUUCUAAAUCCAUCUGCACAAAAUAAGAGAUAUCAUUACGUAAUUU
This 107-nucleotide small nucleolar RNA is filed under the name Gossypium arboreum. Its description in RNAcentral is "Plant small nucleolar RNA R71". It matches the Rfam family "Plant small nucleolar RNA R71". Rfam says of the family: R71 is a member of the C/D box family of snoRNAs containing the C (UGAUGA) and D (CUGA) box motifs. The record is from Rfam by way of RNAcentral. Lineage: Eukaryota; Viridiplantae; Streptophyta; Magnoliopsida; Malvales; Malvaceae.